Molecule: ribosomal RNA, 848 nt
Filed under: Thermococcus sp. Tc70_6
Lineage: Archaea; Methanobacteriati; Methanobacteriota; Thermococci; Thermococcales; Thermococcaceae
Description: bacterial SSU rRNA
Rfam family: Archaeal small subunit ribosomal RNA
Source: RNAcentral
GACUAAGCCAUGCGAGUCAUGGGGCGCCUUGCGCGCACCGGCGGACGGCUCAGUAACACGUCGGUAACCUACCCUCGGGAGGGGGAUAACCCCGGGAAACUGGGGCUAAUCCCCCAUAGGCCUGAGGUACUGGAAGGUCCUCAGGCCGAAAGGGUCUUUGACCGCCCGAGGAUGGGCCGGCGGCCGAUUAGGUAGUUGGUGGGGUAACGGCCCACCAAGCCGAAGAUCGGUACGGGCCAUGAGAGUGGGAGCCCGGAGAUGGACACUGAGACACGGGUCCAGGCCCUACGGGGCGCAGCAGGCGCGAAACCUCCGCAAUGCGGGCAACCGCGACGGGGGGACCCCCAGUGCCGUGGCAUCGCCACGGCUUUUCCGGAGUGUAAAGAGCUCCGGGAAUAAGGGCUGGGCAAGGCCGGUGGCAGCCGCCGCGGUAAUACCGGCGGCCCGAGUGGUGGCCGCUAUUAUUGGGCCUAAAGCGUCCGUAGCCGGGCCCGCAAGUCCCUGGCGAAAUCCCACGGCUCAACCGUGGGGCUUGCUGGGGAUACUGCGGGCCUUGGGACCGGGAGAGGCGGAGGGUACUCCUGGGGUAGGGGUGAAAUCCUAUAAUCCCAGGAGGACCGCCAGUGGCGAAGGCGCUCCGCUGGAACGGGUCCGACGGUGAGGGACGAAGGCCAGGGGAGCGAACCGGAUUAGAUACCCGGGUAGUCCUGGCUGUAAAGGAUGCGGGCUAGGUGUCGGGCGAGCUUCGUGCUCGCUCGGUGCCGAAGGGAAGCCGUUAAGCCCGCCGCCUGGGGAGUACGGCCGCAAGGCUGAAACUUAAAGGAAUUGGCGGGGGAGCACUACAAGGG